UUCCGGUUGAUCCCGCCGGAGGGGACCCCUAUCGGGCUCGGACUAAGCCAUGCGAGUCGGCUGGGGGCCCUUGCCCCUGGCGGCGCACGGCUCAGUAAUACACGGUCAACCUGCCCUGGGGACCGGGAUAACCUCGGGAAACUGAGGCUAAUCCCGGAUAGGGGUGGAUUCCUGGAAUGGGUCCACCCCUAAAGUAGGCGGGGGAAUGGCCCCGCUGAGGCCCCAGGAUGGGACCGUGGCCCAUCAGGUAGUAGGUGGGGUAACGGCCCACCUAGCCUAAGACGGGUGCGGGUUCUGAGAGGAGGAGCCCGGAGAUGGGCACUGAGACAAGGGCCUAGGCCCUACGGGGCGCAGCAGGCGCGAAACUUCCCCAAUGCGCGCAAGCGUGAGGGAGUGAGCCCGAGUGCCGUCCGCUGAGGGCGGCUGUUCCCGGGUGUAAACAGCCCGGGGUGCGAAGGGGA
RNAcentral lists this ribosomal RNA (461 nucleotides) under unidentified archaeon. RNAcentral describes it as "bacterial SSU rRNA". It matches the Rfam family "Archaeal small subunit ribosomal RNA", at positions 1 to 443 of the family's 1478-position model. The record is from RNAcentral.